RNAcentral lists this ribosomal RNA (737 nucleotides) under Klebsiella pneumoniae. Its description in RNAcentral is "bacterial SSU rRNA". It matches the Rfam family "Bacterial small subunit ribosomal RNA", at positions 27 to 755 of the family's 1533-position model. Lineage: Bacteria; Pseudomonadati; Pseudomonadota; Gammaproteobacteria; Enterobacterales; Enterobacteriaceae. The record is from RNAcentral.
GAUUGAACGCUGGCGGCAGGCCUAACACAUGCAAGUCGAGCGGUAGCACAGAGAGCUUGCUCUCGGGUGACGAGCGGCGGACGGGUGAGUAAUGUCUGGGAAACUGCCUGAUGGAGGGGGAUAACUACUGGAAACGGUAGCUAAUACCGCAUAACGUCGCAAGACCAAAGUGGGGGACCUUCGGGCCUCAUGCCAUCAGAUGUGCCCAGAUGGGAUUAGCUAGUAGGUGGGGUAACGGCUCACCUAGGCGACGAUCCCUAGCUGGUCUGAGAGGAUGACCAGCCACACUGGAACUGAGACACGGUCCAGACUCCUACGGGAGGCAGCAGUGGGGAAUAUUGCACAAUGGGCGCAAGCCUGAUGCAGCCAUGCCGCGUGUGUGAAGAAGGCCUUCGGGUUGUAAAGCACUUUCAGCGGGGAGGAAGGCGAUAAGGUUAAUAACCUUGUCGAUUGACGUUACCCGCAGAAGAAGCACCGGCUAACUCCGUGCCAGCAGCCGCGGUAAUACGGAGGGUGCAAGCGUUAAUCGGAAUUACUGGGCGUAAAGCGCACGCAGGCGGUCUGUCAAGUCGGAUGUGAAAUCCCCGGGCUCAACCUGGGAACUGCAUUCGAAACUGGCAGGCUAGAGUCUUGUAGAGGGGGGUAGAAUUCCAGGUGUAGCGGUGAAAUGCGUAGAGAUCUGGAGGAAUACCGGUGGCGAAGGCGGCCCCCUGGACAAAGACUGACGCUCAGGUGCG